RNAcentral lists this ribosomal RNA (468 nucleotides) under uncultured bacterium. Its description in RNAcentral is "partial 16S ribosomal RNA". It matches the Rfam family "Bacterial small subunit ribosomal RNA", at positions 28 to 507 of the family's 1533-position model. The record is from RNAcentral.
GACGAACGCUGGCGGCGUGCUUAACACAUGCAAGUCGAACGGAAAGGCCCUGCUUUUGUGGGUUGCUCGAGUGGCGAACGGGUGAGUAACACGUGAGUAACCUGCCCUUGACUUUUGGAUAACUUCAGGAAACUGGGGCUAAUACCGGAUAGGAGCUCCUGCUGCAUGGUGGUGGUUGGAAUGUUUCGGCGGUUGGGGAUGGACUCGCGGCUUAUCAGCUUGUUGGUGGGGUAGUGGCUUACCAAGGCUUUGACGGGUAGCCGGCCUGAGAGGGUGACCGGCAACAUUGGGACUGAGAUACGGCCCAGACGCCGAGGGGAGGAAGAAGGGGGGAAUAUUGCAAAAGGGGGGGAAGCCGGAUGCAGCAACGCCGCGUGCGGGAUGACGGCCUUCGGGUUGUAAACCGCUUUCGCCUGUGACGAAGCGGGAGUGACGGUAAUGGGAAAAGAAGCACCGGCUAACUACGUG